AUACGGAGGAGCUAGCGUUGUUCGGAAUUACUGGGUCGUAAAGCGCGCGUAGGCGGUUUUUUAAGUCAGAGGUGAAAGCCCGGGGCUCAACCCCGGAAUUGCCUUUGAAACUGGAAGACUUGAAUCUUGGAGAGGUCAGUGGAAUUCCGAGUGUAGAGGUGAAAUUCGUAGAUAUUCGGAAGAACACCAGUGGCGAAGGCGACUGACUGGACAAGUAUUGACGCUGAGGUGCGAAAGCGUGGGGAGC
This 247-nucleotide ribosomal RNA is filed under the name uncultured bacterium. RNAcentral's name for it is "partial 16S ribosomal RNA". It matches the Rfam family "Bacterial small subunit ribosomal RNA", at positions 523 to 769 of the family's 1533-position model. The record is from RNAcentral.